This 316-nucleotide long non-coding RNA is filed under the name Manihot esculenta (cassava). Its description in RNAcentral is "long non-coding RNA (MESC_LNC003231)". Lineage: Eukaryota; Viridiplantae; Streptophyta; Magnoliopsida; Malpighiales; Euphorbiaceae. The record is from RNAcentral.
GACCUCCUCCUUUUGGCUUAUCGCCUCAUCCCUUUCACGAAGGGUCUCCACCAGGGAGGACAGCUGCUUCAAAACUUCUUCACUUCGAAUCUCUGCUGCAGCCGCCCUCUCAUCAGACUCCUUGAGAACCUUGCGAGUAUGAGACAACUCUGCCUCCAGGGACUUAAUACGCUCUUGUGCCUCAGCCGUUCUCUCGUCGGCUCUUUUGAGGGCCUCCAAGGCAGAAUGCAGCUUCGCUUGGAGGGACUCAGUAUGAGCUCGAGCUGCGGCAAGGUUGCCCCUGGCAUCACUAGUGGCAGACAAAUUCUCCUCCAGA